CCGUUAGUAUAGUUUAACAAAAACAUUAGGCCGUGG
Molecule: transfer RNA, 36 nt
Filed under: Phrynosoma hernandesi
Lineage: Eukaryota; Metazoa; Chordata; Lepidosauria; Squamata; Phrynosomatidae
Description: partial tRNA-His
Source: RNAcentral